This 375-nucleotide long non-coding RNA is filed under the name Ananas comosus (pineapple). RNAcentral's name for it is "long non-coding RNA (ACOM_LNC040832)". The record is from RNAcentral. Lineage: Eukaryota; Viridiplantae; Streptophyta; Magnoliopsida; Poales; Bromeliaceae.
AAUGGGGAGAGCGUAGAUGAAGGGAGCGUAGAUGAAGGGGGAGAUAUGAACAAAGGGGGAGAGCGUGGAUGAACAGGCAUUGAACUAGAGCAGAGGAUGAUAAGUUCAAGAACAAAGGGGGAGAAGGUAUAAGAAUUUAGUGCUAAUCAUUUUUUAAUGAAUUGUUUUGCAGGAAAUAAAGAUUUCAAGACUCCUAGUUGCAUCUAAGUCAUAGAGUCUGUUUUAGGAGUUUUGAUGUAAUUUUGAGUUUCAAAUUGUAUUUGGAUUACACGCGAGGGGUUCGAUGUUUUGGUGAUGACAUUGAACUUCGUUUUCUCUUUAAAUUGUAAUUUGUGAGUUUUUGUGUGUUUUGUCACGAAAUUGCCAAAGGGGGAG